Molecule: long non-coding RNA, 332 nt
Filed under: Hordeum vulgare
Lineage: Eukaryota; Viridiplantae; Streptophyta; Magnoliopsida; Poales; Poaceae
Description: long non-coding RNA (HVUL_LNC012715)
Source: RNAcentral
GACACCGCCGCCUCGCCGCCGAGGUACCACCUCUGGAUCAUCUCCGCCACGGCCGCGUUCUCCACCGCCACCUUGGCCUCCUCCUUGCCUUCUGUGACGAACGAUAUCUCUGGCGCGGCGGCGGCCGUGGCCGGGAAGUGGAAGGUGACGAUGGAGCCGGGCCUGAAGUACUUGGACUGGAAGAAGUCGGAGACCUUCUCGAGCGCCUCCUCCUCGUCGUCGUCGUAUUUGUCCGCCGCCACAAGGCGGUCCCUGACGGAGCUCUCGAGCUGCACGCCGUACUGCGACCCCUUGAUCUCCUUGAUCACCACCACCCUCAGCACCUUCUCCAC